CUUCGCCAUAAAGAGGAGACUGAGUGAUUGGUGACACAACACACCUGCUCGUCUUCACGCAGGUGUUUUUAAUCAGCUCCUCCUCCUUUUCUUCCUCUUGCCAACAGUUCCGUGAUGUUACUUUGAAGAGAAGCUGCACUAGCCAUUGAACGAAAAAAAGACGCGAAAAAAGUGUCGCUGUUUAACUACUGAAACUGUUUCGGGAGGAGGGAAAAUUGCGGCGGUAAUGCACCAACUGCCAUAAAACCUCAAAAGGAGGGAACUUUAAAAAAGAAGAGAAAAAAAGAAAACUACCGCGGCGUGACGUCAGACGCCGAAAAGGUGACCGCGUGCAUCAGCUCUUGUAUAAAAACGCAGCAAGGCGCUCCAGGAUGGCGUGUUCGACCUGGUCCAGCUUGGUGGCCCGUCCAGAAUUGAACAACCUGCUUCCUGCUCACGGAGACCUGGUCGGACCCGCCAUAUACAAAAGCCUGAGGCUGUCAAAAAAAGAUUGAUCUUCAUGAACAUCGUCAAUUAGUAGGUGUCAUGGUUUAAUUCUGGGAGGCCGCCGUGUCCCCACUCUUUCUUGGCCGCUGUGCCUACAUCUCUCUGCAUUGUCCAACAUGGCCACGUUAUUUCUAUUCUCCUGCUUUCCAUCUGUCAAAUAGCUGAGGGUUGUACAUGGAGCAUUUGCCACAGGUUGGUUUUGUAUGUUCCUGACCACUUUAUUGGGUGGUCUGAAAUCUGGUCCUUGUUGGUUAUAUUUUUGUGGAACUGCUGAGCGAGUGAUUCGAAAGAAUGAGGUGACUGAUGGAGUGUUUGAAAUUCUCUCUCUGAAUGUGUGGGUUGUGUGAGACUGAGAUGCCUGGAUUGAAUAGUUAAGAUGGUCUGAGAAAAUGAUUAUGUUCAGCAGUUCACAUUAAAGUAGAUAAGGUGUCUUGAAGAGCUUAGAUGCUUGAUAAGUUAUAAUGCACUAACAUUUCCUUUUUAGGUCUGUCUACAAAGGGUGAGUCCAUAUUUUUUUCUUUUCUUUUGCAGAGUAGGAAUAAACAAAAUAAUACUUUUUGAAAAUGAAGGUACUUAAGUGUCGACAACUGACUUGCUAGUCUAGCUGCCCACAGCUAACUACCGAAUCACACUCUACAUGCAAAGGUGAAAACACGCCCCUCAAUGGAUGUGUUUUCUUGCCUUGCCACUGUGCCCUUAACAACUUUUUCUUUCCAACUGUUUCUUAGGACGGUAAGUGACACACAGGCCGCGGGCCAUCGCUCUUCCGGCCGCUGUGUCGAUCUGUCCUGGCCCUCCUCGUGCCUUUCCUCACUUCUAAAAGGAAAAAAAAAAAUCAACUUGAACUGUUUUCUUUAGCACAAAAAUAUAGUGAUGUUGGAGGACCAGAUCUUAAAUGAGGUUU
Solea solea (common sole) is the source of this 1390-nucleotide long non-coding RNA. RefSeq lists it as uncharacterized. The record is from RefSeq and is a predicted model, not a curated record. NCBI's taxonomy places the organism in Eukaryota, Metazoa, Chordata, Actinopteri, Pleuronectiformes, Soleidae. The transcript has 3 exons.